GUGAGGAAUAUUGGUCAAUGGGCGGGAGCCUGAACCAGCCAAGUCGCGUGAAGGAAGAAGGAUCUAUGGUUCGUAAACUUCUUUUGCAGGGGAAUAAAGUGCAGGACGUGUCCUGUUUUGUAUGUACCCUGAGAAUAAGGAUCGGCUAACUCCGUGCCAGCAGCCGCGGUAAUACGGAGGAUCCGAGCGUUAUCCGGAUUUAUGGGGUUUAAAGGGUGCGUAGGUGGUUUGAUAAGUCAGCGGUGAAAGUUUGCAGCUUAACUGUAAAAAUACCGUUGAAACUGUCUGACUUGAGUGUAAAUGAGGUAGGCGGAAUGCGUGGUGUAGCGGGGAAAUGCAUAGAUAUCACGCAGAACUCCGAUUGCGAAGGCAGCUUACUAAGCUACAACUGACACUGAAGCACGAAAGCGUGGGGAUCAAACAGGAUUAGAUACCCUAGUAGUCC
This 445-nucleotide ribosomal RNA is filed under the name uncultured bacterium. RNAcentral describes it as "partial 16S ribosomal RNA". It matches the Rfam family "Bacterial small subunit ribosomal RNA", at positions 354 to 796 of the family's 1533-position model. The record is from RNAcentral.